GUUGAACGCUGGCGGCGGGCCUAACACAUGCAAGUCGAGCGGAUGAAGGCUGCUUGCUCCUGGUUUCCGCGGCGGACGGGUGAGUAAUACCUAGGAAUCUCCCUGGCUGGGGGGGGUGACGACCGGAAGCGGCCGCGAAUACCGCCUACGUCCUGCGGGAGCAGGUUGGGGGUCUUCGGACCGCACGCUAGCAGAUGAGUCUAGGUCGGAUUAGCUAGUUUGUGGGGUAAAGGCCUACCAAGCCGACGAUCCGUGACUGGUCUGCGAGGAGGAUCAGUCACACGGGAACUGAGACACGGUCCAUACUACUAAGGGAGGCAGCAGUGGGGAAUAUUGGACAAUGGGCGAAAGCCUGAUCCAGCCAUGCCGCGUGUGUGAAGAAGGUCUUCGGAUUGUAAAGCACUUUAAGUUGGGAGGAAGGGCAGUAAGUUAAUACCUUGCUGUUUUGACGUUACUAACAGAAGAAGCACCGGCUAACUUCGUG
Molecule: ribosomal RNA, 484 nt
Filed under: uncultured bacterium
Lineage: Bacteria
Description: partial 16S ribosomal RNA
Rfam family: Bacterial small subunit ribosomal RNA
Source: RNAcentral